GCACUCUCCCUCUUUAGGAAGCGACGUCAGUAAUUCGCACGCGUAUCGGUUGCUCGCAACGAGUGCUCACGAUAUAGUUAAUGCCUCUCUUGUUGGCGGCUCUUGUCUUAUAUAUUUGUGGUAAUGGCGACGACGGGCUAUCGAGGGAGGGAAAUCAUCGAAAAGUAGUGUAGUCGGUCGUGACGAAUAGGACUUAAGUGGAGGGCACGAAAGCGACCGAAUAAAACCGAGGUCGCGAAUGUCGACGAGCGAGCCUCUUUCUCUCUCUUCGUUCAGUGCUCCGGUCCAGUGUAUGCACAGCGACCGGCCGGCGUGCAUGGUUGUGAUAAUGUUAUUGUAUUCUUUGAACUGAACAGUUUUUUAUGUUUCCCAUUACGUUAUGUUGAUUCCAUGGAUGACACAACGUGUUCACGACACAAAUUAGCUGCGAUUAAUCAAUGUGUUCCGUUCUGUGUUUCUGAAUGGCGUCAGGCCUCUGCGAAGGCUUGUUCGCUCCCAUUCUCAUCCAGAUCUCGACUCCGGUUACGCAGUCAUGGAGUUCGCGGUCUCGUCUCAGAGAGGAAUUGCCCGCGACUUGAUGUGCGUUUUUCGAUGUCGGUUAUUUAUUUCGCAUAACAGUUGUCGUGUAUUAUUAUAUGGCGGGAGACAAUGUUUUCUUGAAUCGAUAAAGGUAUACUGUCAAAAAAUCGGAAGAAAGGAAAGGAAAGCAUUAGAAAGAGAAACAGAGAGAGUGAGAAGAAAGAGGGAAAGGGAUAGGAAAGAGAGAGAUGGAAAAGGCGAUUGCUAAUGAAGCAAGACUAAGAUGACUGUGCAUAGUUCCGAGCACAAUCAUUAAAGAACGUAAAUUCCCUGUACAGGAUAGGCAUAGUGAAUAACAGCAGAAAGUGGGACAAAAAGCGGAAGUGGAAGAGUGCGUAUGAGUGUACAUGACAUAAUGUGAGAAGAAAAUUCAGGAAAAAGAAUAUAAGACAAGAACAUUCGACGAUCGAGAUAAAGUAGGGGAAAUACUCGUAGUGGAAAUAAAGAAGAAAGACACACGAAGCUGGCGACUCAAGCACGUAAGAGCAGCUCCCGCGGGACUCGGUCCCGACACCGGGCCAAUGGCGGUUCACUUUCCAGCCGCGGUAGCGCUACAAGGAUGCAAUGCGGCUUAUGCACUGUCGUUGCUGACCUGUUCCGUCGUGCCAUGUGCAUCGCGGAUAGUCGACGUGGCUCUGGAGAGUCUUGCUAUCAGGAGUUGGCUACAGAUGUGCCAGAACGGAGGCACUCGCAAGUAGAGGAACAUGUGACGACCACGCUUAUCAAAACAAACGAGAUCGUGGAGAAAGGGAAAGACAUCGCUCAAAUUCAAGAGUCAAUCGGAACGUGGUCAAUCUCAACGUGGUCAAUCGGGACCGUGGUCAAUAUCAACGUGGCCAAACGGGUGCCACUCGCUCAGAAACGAACAACGGAAGUAACAGUGAACAGCGAAGAAAAUGCAGUAUUUGUGCGUAUUUCUAAUAGCAGUGCAUUUAAUGCUGACACAUCACUACCAGAGGCACAUAAUGGGUUUGCAACGAGAGCAGAGUUCAAGCAUUUAUCAGAUGCGGAUCGAAUUACGCUGGAGAGUCUAGAUGUCAAUCGAUAUAGGCCCAGACAUACCGGGCGGUUUUUGACAAUGCACAAAAGACGACGUAAAAGACUUAUCACUAGGUCCCUAAAUCAAGAACCUGGUAUCUUGGAUGAUAUUUUCCAUGGACUAGUACAGUGCGUGUUACAAAAAGCUGGAAACUGGCAAUUUAAUGCGUUCACCCUUGAGACUGUCACCGGUGGUCGUUCACUGCCAGUAUUAUGCGUGCAUCUGUUUUAUUGGUACGGACUUUUACAACAUUUUAAUUUAGAUGUUGUAACAGUAUGGAAGUUAUUUGCUUUCAUCGAGGAAGGUUAUCAUGGCACAAAUCCUUACCAUAACAGUAUACAUGCGGCGGACGUCACUCAGGCAAUGCAUUGCUUCCUUCAAGAAAAAAAGAUUCAAAUACAUGUUACCAAGGUAGAAAUUAUGGCUUCCUUAAUAGCAGCUGUAACGCACGACCUAGAUCAUCCUGGUGUCAAUCAGCCGUUUCUGGUCGCGACAAGUAAUCAUUUAGCUGCACUUUAUAAGAACACUUCGGUUCUUGAAAAUCAUCAUUGGAGAUCAGCCAUUGGAUGCCUUUUAGAAAGUGGUGUAUCAGCACAAUUACAAGAAAAUAUAAGACUGGAACUUGAACGGCAUAUCAAGUCACUAAUUUUAGCGACAGAUAUUACAAGACAGCAAGAGUUUCUCACGCGUUUCAGGGAUUAUUUAGGCAACAAUUCUCUCGAAAUGAAGCGUGCUGAAGACCGUCAUUUUAUUUUACAAAUUGCGCUAAAAUGUGCUGACAUUUCUAACCCAUGUAGACCAUGGAACAUAUCUAGAAAAUGGUCUUACAAAGUUUGUGAAGAAUUCUUUAGGCAAGGCGAUUAUGAACGUCGUUUAAAUCUUCCUGUGACACCGUUAUGCGAUCGGCACAGUACUAGUAUUCCAAAAAUCCAGGCUGGCUUUUUUAAACACGUCGUUACUCCUCUCUAUGUAGAAUGGCAUCGUUUUCUCAGUGAUGGUCUCAGCGUGUCAUUAAUGGAAUAUUUAAAAGCGAAUCAAAAAAGAUGGGAAACUUUGCUUAGUCAAGAAGCGGUCGAAGAAACGGAAACUGAGAUAUCAAAGUUAAAUGAAAAUGAAGAUACCACUAGCUCAGGUGAAGAAACAUCCAUAAACAUCGAUGAAGAUUCAAGCAAUAUUGAUUUACUAAUAUCGACUGCUUUUACAGUGCAAACAACGCGAAUACAGACAUUUCCAGAUCAGAUUGGACUUAAUCGCGUUGACAGACGUCAUUCUAUACCUCUAAGCGUAUCAAAAUCAUUGACUCCACGUCAAGUUAUUAGGAGAGAAAGUUUGCCAAUUGAGAAAAUCAAGGCGAAGAAUGUUUUGUUGAAGCUAGAAGAGCAAAGUUUAUUAGAACCUAAUACUAUAUCUUUGUUGUCCUCUAAAAACAGUAUCGUUGAAUUGUCGAAUGCCAGUGUUUUCGAGAGACCGGUCAGCACAGAGAAUCUUUUGCCAGAAACAAGUAUAGCCAGCAUUACUAGCAAUACCGAAGCCUCACGAUUAAAUACAAUUCUGCAAUCAGAAAAUAAGCCCAACAUGCAAGCCAAACAACUCGCGCGGCAACAGACUUUCCCUCCGUUACAACCGUACGCAAGAAUUAGAUAUAUGUCCACGACAGCGGAAAUGACGCAGUGUUACAAAGAAAUUCUAAUGGAAGCUAAUAGUUCCUCCACUUACUCGACUCUCACGAAGGAUAAAUCAUGUUCAAGCGGCCAAUGCUGCUCGUUAUCGCCGUUGCCAUUAUCACCACAUGAUGAUACCACUUUGUACCACCAGAAGAAGUCUAAGGUCCUAAAAACCUCUAAAGAAUUAUUAACAGUAGAUAUGCCUACCAUAAAGCAAAAUCCAACUUCGUUAGACAUGAUUAAACUGAAAUGUAUUGUUAGUUCGGAACGCCGCCAUUCUAUGAAAACUAUUCAUACCGAUGACUUCAUUUCCACGCAUCAAUAUAAAAGACCUUGUUCUGCUCAAGAUUCCAAUUCCACGCAGAUAUUUUAUGCUUUAUUAACGAGUUCCCAUAGUGAUAGAAGCAACUAUAUUUCUGAUACGCCGGGAUAUAAAGAUUUAGAUCGUAAUGUUAAACAUAAAUAUUACGAUACAAAGUCAAUGCUUCAAGAACCACGGACUACGUCAUCAUGCAAAAAGUCAGAUCAAUGUAUUUUGGCUAAAAACAUAUGUUCUUCACAAGAAUCGCGAAGAUACUCAAUCCCUAUUAUGAAACAUAACACGAUAACGAUCAACAAUACAGGUAGAAGAUAUACCACAAUACCUGUAUCUUCUGAGUUUAAUAUACACAAAGUGUUCUUCAUUGGUAGUCCACCCGGUUCGCCAUCACGUAAUUAUGAUGUAUCCUCAUUAAAUGACAAUUGUAGCGAAUCAAGAAAGAGCAUCGAUGAUUCAAGCAACGAGAUUAUUGACAGUAAAAGAGAAUUGGAUUAUGCAAAGGAAAAGAGUUCAAAAAUUCUGCAGUUGAGUCCUGAUACACAGAUGAAAGAGAAUGUUGAUCCUCGUAAGACUGAUGACUUCAACAAAGCAAUAGCAUUGUUUCGUAGGAGCACUCAGGGAUUAACAAGAAGACGUGGUUCAGCUCCAGUUGGUCUUUUAUCCAAAGUGGAUGAUUGUAUUUCAACUUCUGUAUCUAUCAGAGUUGAUCAUAAUCGAAGACGCGGAUCUGUACCAGCUGAUAUUACCAAACACCAAGAGCUCCGAAAUAUAGGUGAACCCGGGAAAGGAAGGGCGUAACAGAGACCCUCUCGCGUAUUGUCGUACUUAGGCUACGCGUGUGAAUCAAGCUGACCGAUGCGCUCCGGUUGCAAGGUCACCGAUCUGAAGGGUCGAUUUUACCCUGAGUUCGGAAAGUCCACUCGUUGGUCCUUUUGAGGUUAAGGAACUGAAUCCCUAUUACUUGAGGUGUUGAACGCAAGUUAUUCGCAAGAGUAUUUUACUGCUAAAAAGGAAUCAGACUGGUUGAUAACGCGACAAGUGGUGGCAAACAUUCAAAUACGCAGCAAGACAGAUUUAAGAAACAUGGAGUAAAACGGAAUUUUUAAAGGGAAUAAUCGUGAAUGAGCGUAAAUAACAACUAACAGACGCUGCAGGUAGUAAAUCGAGGGCUAAGAAAGAGAGUAAGGAAAACUCAGUUAAUCGCAAGAACCCUUAUUUCGGUGGCACGAAGUAUUGAAACAUGUGUUUGACUUACUACUUGAUGAAUAACUGUCUGCGACCACCUGGAUCCAGCUGACAAUGCAAGGAGGAAGUGGGUGGUCAGAUCCGUGUGUGCUAAGUUCGGAUUGGAAUUUCACUGGUUCACUUGUAUCGGUUCUUAAAGUCACUGAAUUUCACUGACUCUAACUACUCGGACUGAAUUCACGCAGAACUUGGCUGUUUGAAAACGAACUGAUGGUUGUUCAUAAAAGUGAAACCCUUGUCGGAUUAAAGAACUCCGCGAGUUUGGGUGAUCGAGAAAAUGUGAACUAUUACAGUGAAAACCUGGUACUAAAGACGUAAGGAAGACUGACUAACGGAAAAGUGCAAGAGCGGAAUAACUGUAACCUGUAACUGACGAGGUCUGCGUCUCGUUUUUUACGUGAAAAAUUGUGCAUCACCGAGAGGGGAUUUUUUAGUAACAAUUUGGAAUUCGGGAGAAAGGAGGUCUCCUGGAGUGUGACUGGUUAAUCGCGGUGGUUGCCUUUCAGGGAUUGGUGGGUGUCUUGUGGUCCAUGCCCCUCCCAGGAACAAUCUCGCAUAUGGUCUAGUCUAAUGGUCACCUUGUUAUAAUUAUUCAGCGGACAGUUGUUUUUAAAGUUAUGACCUUUAAGGGUAAUGUGUCUGUUACCUUUUUGUUUUGGUAUAUCUCUCGCAACCGAAUAUUUAUGUGACCCUUAAGAUUUUGAAUGCGGAUCGGUCGCGACCCUCUAUUUCCACGCAGCGCAUGUCGUCGAUUGUAAAAUCUUAUACCCUACGCCGUCUGUUUAAUAUUCGAAGCUAGACUCUGGUCUAUGAUUCCUUGAACUUUACAAGAUAUCUUUAGUUAUCAUCAAUAUGCUCAGCCUUCUAUGAUCCCAUUGUCCCUUGUAAACAUUCGGGGUAAGACCGCUUUGCUGCUAUACCGUGCUUCCUGGCGGUAAUGCGA
RNAcentral lists this unclassified non-coding RNA (5789 nucleotides) under Ooceraea biroi (clonal raider ant). Its description in RNAcentral is "uncharacterized LOC105276337, transcript variant X24". The record is from RNAcentral. Lineage: Eukaryota; Metazoa; Arthropoda; Insecta; Hymenoptera; Formicidae.